AACUGCUGCACAAGGAGUGUUCGAUUGGACUCCUUUUCACACAAUGAACAACCAGCUUAGAACUGAUGCGGGCAAGGGGGAUCCGACUGUUUAAUUGAAACAAAGUAUUGCGAUGCCCUGAAAGGAUGUUGACACAAUGUGAUUUCUGCCCAGUGCUCUGAAUGUCAAAGUGAGGAGAUUCAACUAAGCGCGGGUAAACGGCGGGAGUAACUAUGACUCUCUUAAGGUAGCCAAAUGCCUCGUCAUCCAAUUAGUGACGCGCAUGAAUGGAUUAAUGAGAUUCCUACUGUCCCAAUCUACUGUCCAGCGAAACCACAGCCAAGGGAACGGGCUUGGGUGAGUCAGCGGGGAAAGAAGACCCUGUUGAGCUUGACUCUAAUCCGACUUUGUGAAAUGACUUAGGAGGAGUAGGAUAUGUGGGAGCUCAGGUGAUCUUGAAAUACCACUACUUUUAAUGUCACUUUACUUACUCUAUCCAACUGUGCCCUGCCUCACAGCAGGUUUUUGCUUUUAAGGUUGCUCUUUUGGCGUGUUGAUUUGCGUAGAAGACGUCGUCCGGUGGGGAGUUUGGCUGGGGCGGCACAUCUGUUAAAGGAUAACGCAGGUGUCCUAAGGUGAGCUCAAUGAGAACAGAAAUCUCAUGCGGAUCAAAAGGGGAAACGCUUGCUUGAUUUUGCUUUUCAGUGUGAAGAUAAACUGUGCAAACAUGGCCUAUUGAUCCUUUAG
This 726-nucleotide ribosomal RNA is filed under the name Gambierdiscus excentricus. RNAcentral describes it as "LSU rRNA". It matches the Rfam family "Eukaryotic large subunit ribosomal RNA", at positions 2052 to 2779 of the family's 3401-position model. Lineage: Eukaryota; Dinophyceae; Gonyaulacales; Pyrocystaceae. The record is from RNAcentral.